RNAcentral lists this ribosomal RNA (328 nucleotides) under uncultured eukaryote. Its description in RNAcentral is "partial 18S ribosomal RNA". It matches the Rfam family "Eukaryotic small subunit ribosomal RNA", at positions 1470 to 1796 of the family's 1831-position model. The record is from RNAcentral.
CCCUUAGAUGUUCUGGGCCGCACGCGCGCUACACUGAUGCAUUCAACGAGUCUAAAACCUGGUCUGAGAGGGCUGGGUAAUCUUUUGAAAGUGCAUCGUGAUUGGGAUAGAUUAUUGCAAAUAUUAAUCUUGAACGAGGAAUUCCUAGUAAGCGCAAGUCAACAGCUUGCGUUGAUUACGUCCCUGCCCUUUGUACACACCGCCCGUCGCUACUACUGAUUGGAUGUUUAAGCGAGGUUCUCGAACUGCUAGCGACUUAGCUUCGGUGAGGUCGCAGUGUGGGAAGUGAACCUAGCUUUGGUGUCUAGAGGAAGUAAAAGUCGUAACA